CGUUUACAUACUUACCUUUUAGGAUUGCUUUUUUUGCAACAUUAAAUAUUCUUUUGUCAUUUUCUUAAUAGAAUAUUUCAGGAAUACAAUUAUUACAAAAUAAAUAUUGAAUAAAAACUUCCAUCAUAUCGAUCGAAUAUUCACAAAACAAAGUUCAUCUCGUUGCAAAUUCCCGGACUCCCCAAAAUCCACGCAACGCUACUCCGGAUCGAUUAAGGAGAAAAUUAGAUCUAGAGGACCGUUAUUGCACCGCGAUUACCAAUAUUGUAGUAUGCAUCGAUAAUCGAAUGGAUCCCCUCCUAUCUAUCUAUCGAUUUUCGCUGAUGCAUCGAUAUUUCGUCAUUUGCCCGUUAAAUAUGCGUCCAUGCCUUUGUAAAGCCAUAUCUUUCGUUGGAUUGUCGCGUCAAAUGCAAUUCAUUCCGCGCGAUUGAUUCACCAUUGAAAAACUGUGUUGCAGCAUGCUUUGCCCUUCGAAAAGUAAUUAACAAGCAGGCUAGCAUGCAUUUAUUUAUUCCGGAAAUAUUCUGUUCGGGGAACAAGCGUGAAAUGCGAUCGGUCCUUGUCAUGUUGAGAUCACAGAAAUCGAACGUGAUGGAGCGGAAUUGAAAUAUAUACAUGUACAGAGAGUUCGGCUGUAGGUAUUUAAAAGAAAAAAAAGCCAAAAUAAAAGAAUGGCUAUCAAGAAUAACAAAAA
Long non-coding RNA from Apis florea (little honeybee), 694 nucleotides. Lineage: Eukaryota; Metazoa; Arthropoda; Insecta; Hymenoptera; Apidae. The record is from RefSeq and is a predicted model, not a curated record.